GGUUGUUAAUUACCUAGAUAAUCUUUGUAAGAGGGGAUGAAAUAAUAUAUAAAAAAUGAAGUUAAUAAGAUAAUGUUAACUAAAAUUAUUUUGAAAGAAAUAUUUUCUUUUAUAUAUUAUUAUGGAAAGAAAUAACUUUAAAUGUUAGUGCGUAUUCUAAUCAUAAUCUCAUUGCAUAUUAUAAGAAAACAUGGUACGAAUGAGAGUAUAAUCCUAUACUACUAAUCACUUAGCCUAGGGAGAAACUUCCUACACAAUUUGAUGUUCCAAAAUAUGUUAUUUAAUCAACUUGAAAUAAGGAAACCAAGUGGCAGAUUGUUUGGUAGACCGUGCUGCAAAUAAUGAUUGUGAUU
RNAcentral lists this long non-coding RNA (353 nucleotides) under Elaeis guineensis (African oil palm). Its description in RNAcentral is "long non-coding RNA (EGUI_LNC022568)". The record is from RNAcentral. Lineage: Eukaryota; Viridiplantae; Streptophyta; Magnoliopsida; Arecales; Arecaceae.